RNAcentral lists this ribosomal RNA (423 nucleotides) under uncultured bacterium. Its description in RNAcentral is "bacterial SSU rRNA". It matches the Rfam family "Bacterial small subunit ribosomal RNA", at positions 207 to 622 of the family's 1533-position model. The record is from RNAcentral.
AAGACCUUGCGCUUUUGGAGCGGCCGAUGCCUGAUUAGCUUGUUGGUAAGGUAAAAGCUUACCAAGGCUUCGAUCAGUAGCUGGUCUGAGAGGACGACCAGCCACACUGGGACUGAGACACGGCCCAGACUCCUACGGGAGGCAGCAGUGGGGAAUUUUGGACAAUGGGGGCAACCCUGAUCCAGCCACGCCGCGUGAGUGAAGAAGGCCUUCGGGUUGUAAAGCUCUUUCAGCCGGAACGAAACGGUUACGGAUAACACCCGUGACUACUGACGGUACCGGAAGAAGAAGCACCGGCUAACUACGAGCCAGCAGCCGCGGUAAUACGUAGGGUGCGAGCGUUAAUCGGAAUUACUGGGCGUAAAGCGUGCGCAGGUGGUUUUGUAAGUCAGAUGUGAAAGCCCCGGGCUCAACCUGGGAACU